Cygnus olor (mute swan) is the source of this 1824-nucleotide long non-coding RNA. RefSeq lists it as uncharacterized. The record is from RefSeq and is a predicted model, not a curated record. NCBI's taxonomy places the organism in Eukaryota, Metazoa, Chordata, Aves, Anseriformes, Anatidae. The transcript is spliced from 3 exons.
UAUGAAAUUUGCCAUCUAAUGUCAAAGCGGAAGUCAAAGAACAUUUUGAUUUUGAGUACCUUUGGAAUACUCAAGGAAUAACUUAGUCAAUGUCUUCUGAAUUAAGGAAAACCUGACAUAUGCGAUCACAUAUGAAGAACUAAGGGAUUUAUUUAUUAGCUUAUUUUCCUCCCAUCUAGCAUAGGAGAAAAAUGGAUUACAGCAUUUUUAGCUUAGAUUCAAUAAGCAAGACAUGAACACAAACUUUGAAGGAAAACAUAGCUAAGGCAAUUGAGGCAAUGGCAAACAGUAUAAAAUCAGGGAAAGUUUCUCAGAGGUAGACCUUUCCUGGCAGCUUUUUUCAUGACUCUUUUUCUUAAUUGGUGUUCACAAGGUGAGAGAGGGACUAGUUGGAGUGAAUGACAAUAUAAUCAGAAAUGCAAAAGGUACGAACUGACAGUUUAGGCUGGAAAUUGGGAAGAGGAUUUCAGUUGAAUGUAGCAGGUUUCUGGGAAUACAGAACAAUAACAACAACAGAACAAACAAAAAACAAUAUAUAACAAACAGAAAAACAAAGCAACACACACACACACACACAAAAGCUGAGAAAGAAAACUCAAUUCAUUUUAAGAUAGCUUUUACUUAGGCUGUGAAAGGAAUUAUAUGAAAUGGUUGGCUAUGAUUGCAGAGAAUUGCCCUUGGUUACCCAGACAACCUUUCCAGCUCUAUUUUGUUAAGACAUGACAUACUUCAGGUGGGGUUAUUGAGCCAGCUACUCACCACUACUUCCCGUGAGGAUUAUUUCACUCACUUUACCUCAGAAAUUCCUCAGUACUGUCUGCAUCACUCAAGAGCUUCUGGAGAAGAACUCAGCAAGGAAGCAAUGAAAUCUACCACAAGAUCUGACACCAAGUCAGAUCCCUGACUGAAUCAGAACCUGGGAUCCCUGAGAAGCAGUCUGGAACAUGCAUCUGAGGCCUCAUUCUCUACCAAUGAGUGGAAAGCAGAGCUGGCUGCCUACUGACAAGUGGGGUGAGGAGAAGGAUGUCCCUUGGCUCCCUCCGUGGGGGGAAUUUUUGCCCAGCUCCCCUGCUGAGACAGGGACAGUGUCCAGGGUUGUCCUAAAUUGCAAUUCCUAGAGUUAAGUGAUCAUCUAUUUUAAAAGAAGAAAAUAUCAGUAAGGUACCAGAGCUCCUAUUGUGAAGAAAAAUCAGAAGACAUAAACCCUAAGUAUUUAGUAGAGAGAGAGAUGAAGAAAGAGCGCAGAACUGAGGACAAGAAAGAUGGACUUCGUUUCUUUUUUAAAAACAAUUGGAUUAGCACUCCUGCACUGUGCUCCAGAAGGCUACCUUGUAAAGAUGCUUCCUCUUCCAUGUUAUUGCUUUGUAUGUACAGAAUAGCACUAUAAAUUAAAAUUUUCUCACCUUUAACAGUCUGUGUAAUGCAAAAUAAAGGAGAUUCUCUUCCUGCCUUGUGUACAGAAUCAGAACCAGCUGAUUUGAUUUUUUCCUUUAUGUAUCUAGACAAACUUUUUUAAAGGAAAAGUCAAAACCAUCAUUUUGGCAGUCCCCUAAUGUGCAUUUAACAAUUAUCUGAUAAGGUAUUUUUUCAGUGCUAUUAGUUUGUUUGAACACAGUAUUUCAAGAGUCCCAGACAUUUUUCUCUUUGUUGACUCAUUAGCACCAAAAUGCCAUUUCUAAAGGGCCUUUUACAAAAGCCCAGGAGAAACAGAAUUAGUUAUCUGCAGACAGUGAAAGAAGAUAAUUAAGAGGGAAUACAGAUAUGUCAAAGCACUUUUUUUUUUUUUUGGUGCCUGUGAUAGAUCAUAAAAAAAAAAACAAUUAG